AAAGAACCCCGGCGAGGGGAGUGAAAAAGAACCUGAAACCGUGUACGUACAAGCAGUGGGAGCCUCUUUAUGGGGUGACUGCGUACCUUUUGUAUAAUGGGUCAGCGACUUAUAUUCUGUAGCAAGGUUAACCGAAUAGGGGAGCCGAAGGGAAACCGAGUCUUAACUGGGCGUUAAGUUGCAGGGUAUAGACCCGAAACCCGGUGAUCUAGCCAUGGGCAGGUUGAAGGUUGGGUAACACUAACUGGAGGACCGAACCGACUAAUGUUGAAAAAUUAGCGGAUGACUUGUGGCUGGGGGUGAAAGGCCAAUCAAACCGGGAGAUAGCUGGUUCUCCCCGAAAGCUAUUUAGGUAGCGCCUCGUGAAUUCAUCUCCGGGGGUAGAGCACUGUUUCGGCAAGGGGGUCAUCCCGACUUACCAACCCGAUGCAAACUGCGAAUACCGGAGAAUGUUAUCACGGGAGACACACGGCGGGUGCUAACGUCCGUCGUGAAGAGGGAAACAACCCAGACCGCCAGCUAAGGUCCCAAAGUCAUGGUUAAGUGGGAAACGAUGUGGGAAGGCCCAGACAGCCAG
Molecule: ribosomal RNA, 577 nt
Filed under: Escherichia coli
Lineage: Bacteria; Pseudomonadati; Pseudomonadota; Gammaproteobacteria; Enterobacterales; Enterobacteriaceae
Description: partial 23S ribosomal RNA
Rfam family: Bacterial large subunit ribosomal RNA
Source: RNAcentral